Molecule: transfer RNA, 66 nt
Filed under: Pholetesor sp. SNS-2016
Lineage: Eukaryota; Metazoa; Arthropoda; Insecta; Hymenoptera; Braconidae
Description: tRNA-His
Source: RNAcentral
AUUUAAAUAGUUUAAAUUUAAAACUUUGAUUUGUGGGGUCAAUAAUAUAAAAUUUUAUUUUAAAUU